CAGCCGCCGCGGUAAUACGAGGGGGGCAAGCGUUGUUCGGAAUUAUUGGGCGUAAAGGGUGCGUAGGCGGUUUGGCAAGUUUGGUGUGAAAUCUUCGGGCUCAACUCGAAGUCUGCAUCGAAAACUGCCGGGCUUGAGUAUGGGAGAGGUGAGUGGAAUUUCCGGUGUAGCGGUGAAAUGCGUAGAUAUCGGAAGGAACACCUGUGGCGAAAGCGGCUCACUGGACCAUAACUGACGCUGAUGCACGAAAGCUAGGGGAGCAAACAGGAUUAGAUACCCCUGUAGUCCCUGUCUCUUAUAC
RNAcentral lists this ribosomal RNA (301 nucleotides) under uncultured bacterium. RNAcentral describes it as "partial 16S ribosomal RNA". It matches the Rfam family "Bacterial small subunit ribosomal RNA", at positions 509 to 807 of the family's 1533-position model. The record is from RNAcentral.